Alexandromys fortis (reed vole) is the source of this 1932-nucleotide long non-coding RNA. RefSeq lists it as uncharacterized. The transcript has 3 exons. The record is from RefSeq and is a predicted model, not a curated record. Lineage: Eukaryota; Metazoa; Chordata; Mammalia; Rodentia; Cricetidae.
UAAAGGCUAUAAUUACAAUCAAAUUCAAAGGCUAGGCGAAAUAUAAAAAUCAGCUUUUAAAAAUUAGCUGGUUUGCUUAGUUCCCUGCUCUUCAUUGCUUUUUUGUGAAUGAAACUUUAGGUGGUGGUAUGAGGUGACUUGUUCAGUUUUAGGGGUGACAGAGAAAUGCUGAAGAGGGUGUUCUUUUCUUUCAAGAACUGACUUAAAAAAUAUUUAUGUGCAUUGGUGCUUUCCCUUCAUGUAUGUCUCUAUGUGGGUGUUGGACCCCCCUGGAACUGGAGUUGUAGACGGUUGUAAGCCGCCAUGUAGGUGCUGAGAACUGAACCCGGGUCCUCUCGGAGAGCAGUCAGGGCUCUUAACCACUGAGUCAUCUCUCCAGCUCCAACAAGAGUACUCUUAAAAGGACACAUGUUUUGGCUUUAAUCAUUAUCUGUUAGUCCUUGUAGCUCGCUGGUUUGAGAGCGCUCAGCAGAAAGAGUGUCAUCCUUGUGCAGGCAAGCUUUUCUUUCCCUUUCUUCGUCUGAUGUGGGAGUGGUUUCUUAUUAAUAAAGAAACUGCCUUGGCCCAUUUUAUUGGAUAGAAAAUUAGGUAGGUGGAGUAUACAGAAGAGAAUUCUGGGAGAAAGAAGGUUAGAGGAGGAGUCGCCAUGAUUCUCCCGCUCCAGACAGACUCAGGUUAAGAUCCUCCCUGGUAAGCCAGCUCGUGGGCUACACAGAAUAUUAGAAAUGGGUUAGAACAAUAUGUAAGAGCUAGCCAAUAAGAAGCUGGAACUAGCCGGGCCAGGCAGUGUUUGAAAGAAUACAGUUUCCGUGUAAUUAUUUCUGGGCAUACGCUAGCCAUGCGGGCGGCCGGGUGCCGGGGACUCAGCCUCGCCGCUCCUAAUUCAACACUGGUUUCAUAAAGGUAUUUCCAUGUUAAGCAUAAGGUAUACUUUAACCAUGUUCCUGCACACCCUCCUAUCCUCCUGUUCCCCCUCCCUUUCUCAUUAGUAACCUUCACUCUAGACGAUUUUGCCUCUACUUUAAGGACCUAUGACAGGCAUGAUUUGAUGCAACAUAUAAUAUCGAGGAUCUACAGAUGAAAGAAAGCAUACAAUAUUUGUCUGAAAUUGACUCAGUUCGCUUAAUAUGGCAAUCUCCAUUUUCCUACCAAGAAGAGAAUUCUACUCUUCACUAUGGCAGACUAAGAUCCCACAUGUGUACAGACCACGUUUCCUUCCCCCUUCCCCUGUGUUAGGACAUGUAGGCAGAUCCCUUUGCUUACUCUUGUGGGCAGCGCUGCAGUCACUUUAACAUGCAAGCGUCUGUGUGCUGUGUUGACACAGAGUCCUUCGGAUAAACACCUAGGAGUCAUCGAGCAAACAAGUAACAAAAGUUGAAGCAUGCUUUCCAUUAGGCACCUAAGAAGAGGAAUUUGGAAGUCAAAUGUCACCUUCUGACUGCUGGAAGAACCGAGACUCUGUAUCCAAAUAAAAGACUUACUCUGCUUUGCAGUUCCCUGAAGUCCCAGGGACAGGUCCACCUCAGCAUGCACAUCAGCGGAGCUAAAAGCACGUUUUACAGUCCGGGCAUGGAGAGCCGCUGAAGAUUGUUUGAGAACUCGACUGCUGUGUCUGAGUUCCUCUGAUGUUUCCUGUUGCCGACUGCUUGCUCAUUAUUCUAGAAAAAAUAGCAAACAAGCCCAAACUACUUCUCCAAACAAUUCCAAGACAUACCACACAACAGAGGAAAGCAAACUCACCAGCGAAGCCCAGCUUUCCUGGGCUAGUUUGUGAGAACCAGGGUGCUUUGUUGCUUUGGUUUGCUUCUUUAAAUUUUAUUUUAUGUGCAUUGGUGUUUUGCACGUAUGUCUGACUGAGGAUGUCCAGGUCCCUGGAACAGUUGUGAGCUGCCGUGUAGAUGCUGGGAAUUGAACUCUGGUCCUCGGGGAGGA